Molecule: long non-coding RNA, 525 nt
Organism: Frankliniella occidentalis (western flower thrips)
Lineage: Eukaryota; Metazoa; Arthropoda; Insecta; Thysanoptera; Thripidae
Exons: 3
Source: RefSeq, a predicted model, not a curated record
UCGCUUUGCUCAGCACAGCAGACAACCAACGGACAACUAAGCCGACCCGUCUCGACGCAGUAAUCAUGCUUGCCCAGAUUUGUUUUGGGUGUGCCCAUCACUCAAAGACACAUUCCACAGGGACAGGAUCACAAUGCUAGUGAAGAAGACUUAAGAUCACGGUCAACAAUAUCAGCAAAUGCAGCUGAUCGUCAAAAUCAAGAAGUCUCCCUUUGAUUGAGAGACACCAGAGCUGCAAUGCACAAGUACAUUGUCACAACGAGUCCAGGAGGACCAAGCGAUUCUUUUCCCAUACCAGGGUCAGACCAAAGAUGAUGUUACGUUGCCCUUUUGAAAUUUCUAAAUCUUGUAGCUCUUGUACAAAGUGAGGUAUUUCUAGGUGUUAUAAGGUUUCAUUUAAAACUCAACAUCCGCACCUUGAACAAAAUUUGUAAAAUACCAUACUCGAGAUCUUAGUCAAAUCUUGAUGAGAGCAGCAAGGGAUCAGGCAAACGGUAGCUAUCAAAUAAAUUAAUUUCUGUUUAA